Molecule: ribosomal RNA, 433 nt
Filed under: uncultured bacterium
Lineage: Bacteria
Description: partial 16S ribosomal RNA
Rfam family: Bacterial small subunit ribosomal RNA
Source: RNAcentral
AACGAACGCUGGCGGCAUGCCUAACACAUGCAAGUCGAACGAGACCUUCGGGUCUAGUGGCGCACGGGUGCGUAACGCGUGGGAACCUGCCUUUAGGUUCGGAAUAAAUCAGAGAAAUUUGAGCUAAUACCGGAUGAUGUCUUCGGACCAAAGAUUUAUCGCCUUUAGAUGGGCCCGCGUUGGAUUAGCUAGUUGGUGGGGUAAAGGCCUACCAAGGCGACGAUCCAUAGCUGGUCUGAGAGGAUGAUCAGCCACACUGGGACUGAGACACGGCCCAGACUCCUACGGGAGGCAGCAGUGGGGAAUAUUGGACAAUGGGCGAAAGCCUGAUCCAGCAAUGCCGCGUGAGUGAUGAAGGCCUUAGGGUUGUAAAGCUCUUUUACCCGAGAUGAUAAUGACAGUAUCGGGAGAAUAAGCUCCGGCUAACUCCGUG